RNAcentral lists this transfer RNA (77 nucleotides) under Hyphomicrobium sp. RNAcentral describes it as "tRNA-Arg". It matches the Rfam family "tRNA". Rfam says of the family: Transfer RNA (tRNA) molecules are approximately 80 nucleotides in length. Their secondary structure includes four short double-helical elements and three loops (D, anti-codon, and T loops). RNAcentral also lists the same sequence under 2 other names. Lineage: Bacteria; Pseudomonadati; Pseudomonadota; Alphaproteobacteria; Hyphomicrobiales; Hyphomicrobiaceae. The record is from RNAcentral.
GGCCCCGUAGCUCAGCUGGAUAGAGCGCGAACCUUCUAAGUUCGAUGUCGCAGGUUCAAAUCCUGCCGGGGUCGCCA